RNAcentral lists this ribosomal RNA (252 nucleotides) under uncultured Ruminococcus sp. RNAcentral describes it as "partial 16S ribosomal RNA". It matches the Rfam family "Bacterial small subunit ribosomal RNA", at positions 524 to 776 of the family's 1533-position model. Lineage: Bacteria; Bacillati; Bacillota; Clostridia; Eubacteriales; Oscillospiraceae. The record is from RNAcentral.
UACGUAGGGGGCAAGCGUUAUCCGGAUUUACUGGGUGUAAAGGGAGCGUAGGCGGGGAUGCAAGUUGGGUGUUAAAUCUACCGGCUCAACUGGUAGUCGCACUCAAAACUGCAGCUCUUGAGUGAAGUAGAGGCAGGCGGAAUUCCUAGUGUAGCGGUGAAAUGCGUAGAUAUUAGGAGGAACACCAGUGGCGAAGGCGGCCUGCUGGGCUUUUACUGACGCUGAGGCACGAAAGCGUGGGGAUCGAACAGG